Molecule: non-coding RNA, 101 nt
Organism: Acanthosepion pharaonis
Lineage: Eukaryota; Metazoa; Mollusca; Cephalopoda; Sepiida; Sepiidae
Source: the annotation of a GenBank genome assembly
ACAUUGAAACACCGAUUCUAGUAUGAUCACCGAAGUUAAGCAACAAUGUGCCUGUUCAGAACCUAGAUGAGUGACCGCUUGGGAAUGUGAGGUGCUGUAAG